This 808-nucleotide ribosomal RNA is filed under the name uncultured Alkalibacillus sp. RNAcentral's name for it is "bacterial SSU rRNA". It matches the Rfam family "Bacterial small subunit ribosomal RNA", at positions 236 to 1041 of the family's 1533-position model. Lineage: Bacteria; Bacillati; Bacillota; Bacilli; Caryophanales; Bacillaceae. The record is from RNAcentral.
GCGCAUUAGUUAGUUGGUGAGGUAACGGCUCACCAAGGCGACGAUGCGUAGCCGACCUGAGAGGGUGAUCGGCCACACUGGGACUGAGACACGGCCCAGACUCCUACGGGAGGCAGCAGUAGGGAAUCAUCCGCAAUGGACGCAAGUCUGACGGUGCAACGCCGCGUGAGCGAUGAAGGUCUUCGGAUCGUAAAGCUCUGUUGUGAGGGAAGAACAAGUGCUGUUCGAAUAGGGCGGCACCUUGACGGUACCUCACCAGAAAGCCCCGGCUAACUACGUGCCAGCAGCCGCGGUAAUACGUAGGGGGCAAGCGUUGUCCGGAAUUAUUGGGCGUAAAGCGCGCGCAGGCGGUUCCUUAAGUCUGAUGUGAAAGGCCACAGCUCAACUGUGGAGGGCCAUUGGAAACUGGGGAACUUGAGGACAGAAGAGGAGAGCGGAAUUCCACGUGUAGCGGUGAAAUGCGUAGAUAUGUGGAGGAACACCAGUGGCGAAGGCGGCUCUCUGGUCUGUAACUGACGCUGAGGCGCGAAAGCAUGGGUAGCGAACAGGAUUAGAUACCCUGGUAGUCCAUGCCGUAAACGUUGAGUGCUAGGUGUUAGGGGGUCCAACCCUUAGUGCUGCAGUUAACGCAAUAAGCACUCCGCCUGGGGAGUACGGCCGCAAGGCUGAAACUCAAAGGAAUUGACGGGGGCCUGCACAGCGGUGGAGCAUGGGUUUAAUUCGACGCAACGCGAAGACCUUACCAGGUCUUGACAUCUUCGGACAGCCCAAGAGAUUGGGUCUUCCCUUCGGGACCGAUGACAGGUGG